CAGGCUGCAACUCGCCUGCAUGAAGUCGGAAUUGCUAGUAAUCGUAGGUCAGCAUACUACGGUGAAUACGUUCCCGGGCCUUGUACACACCGCCCGUCAAACCAUGAGAGUCGGCAACACCCGAAGUCGGUAGUCUAACCGCAAGGAGGACGCCGCCGAAGGUGGGGUUGAUGAUUAGGGUUAAGUCGUAACAAGGUAUC
Molecule: ribosomal RNA, 200 nt
Filed under: uncultured bacterium
Lineage: Bacteria
Description: partial 16S ribosomal RNA
Rfam family: Bacterial small subunit ribosomal RNA
Source: RNAcentral